This 1215-nucleotide long non-coding RNA is filed under the name Gopherus agassizii (Agassiz's desert tortoise). Its description in RNAcentral is "lncRNA (ENSGAGG00000020159.1)". The record is from RNAcentral. Lineage: Eukaryota; Metazoa; Chordata; Testudines; Testudinidae.
CACACACAAAUACAAAUACACAUACAUAUACAUAGCGUACACGCGUCUAUAUCCAGCUACAUGGAGCCAUGGAGAGAGAGAUUUACACACACCCCGAUAAGUGUGUAAGACAAGGUAGGGGAGCACCACACCGAAGGAUCCAGUGUAGACUACAACAAGCCAUUACAAUGUUACCAUACCUUCAUAAUCGCUACUAGCAGAAUGAAAUAAGCGGUAUCCUUCCAGCAAACCGCUGCAUUUGCCUCUGUUCUUCUCCCGAUCGCUGUGGGGAGCGGGGCGAGAGAACUCGGAGCCAGUGGCUGCGAAGCCCCUUGCACCAGUCCUGGGAGUGGAGCAGCUUCUAUCUCCGCGAGGGAGCGAACGUGUCUGCUGGUGGUGCUGCCGCCGCCGUUGGAGAGGGAUCUGUGUUAGUAGGUCAGCCCUGUACACUCCUCACAACGCACAGUCCUCAUGCCAGCCUUUGCUGUGACUGGCAGCGGCCCGCCCCCAAUCAGAGCUCAGCGCUCGCGGGGUGCAGCCAAUGGCGGCCUCCCAGAGGAGAGUAUUAGGGCAGAACCAGACUUGAAUUGAACCCCCUUUCCUCCUCCCUUAACACUUCCCCCGCCCUACGGGAGCUGUGUGGUACAGUAGAUAUAGGCGCUGGGUAUUGCAUAACCAGCCGAGGGGGGCACGGGGGGAGGCUGCUGACAUUUACGUAAUUACCGAAAGGAGAGCCAGAGGCCAGAGUUAAGGUGGAGACUUUCUCUGUGUCUCUCGCUUAUUGACUCUGGAACACUUUCAGCCGCAAUUUAGUUACCCUGUAGCUUUUACCGAGCUCCAGUGCAAACAGAUGUUGUUGUGGCGCAGGCGUGAAGGAGCACCGAGGAGUAGCGACAUAUGCCCUGCUGGCUGGCUGCAUUGGACAGCACAAAUAAACACGCCGCCUGCUUGUCCUACUCCAGCAGCCCUAAGAGAAGCGGGGAGGGUGGCAGAAACUACACACACGCACACUGCAAUAACCCUGCCAAACAUGUAACACGCUGGGGAAAGGGAGCCCCGAAUCUCUUCCUUGCGACCGUAGGCUGCAGUCCGUGCAGUGGCAGCGAGGUGAAGAACUUUGAAGCCUUUGUAGGAAAUGAAAGAGAAAGAUGUGCAGGGAGUGAGGCGUGGAGGACGAACCCAGUGCUUUAAUCAUCCUUUGUAAUUUAGAUUCUUGAGAUCUGGAGAUCAGUCUCC